AGCAGCCGCGGUAAUUCCAGCUCCAAUAGCGUAUAUUAAAGUUGUUGCAGUUAAAAAGCUCGUAGUUGAAUUUCGGGAUCAAUAUGUUGGUCGUGCCUCGGUACGUACUGGCUUAUUGAUUUCUCCUUUCUGAAGAACCAUGAUGUCAUUCAUUUGGUGUCGUGGGGAAUCAGGACUGUUACUUUGAAAAAUUAGAGUGUUUAAAGCAGGCUCACGCUUGAAUACAUUAGCAUGGAAUAAUGAAAUAGGACGUUUGAUUCUAUUUUGUUGGUUUCUAGGAUCGACGUAAUGAUUAAUAGGGAUAGUUGGGGGCAUUAGUAUUCAAUUGUCAGAGGUGAAAUUCUUGGAUUUUAUUGAAGACUAACUACUGCGAAAG
RNAcentral lists this ribosomal RNA (376 nucleotides) under uncultured Glomus. Its description in RNAcentral is "SSU rRNA". It matches the Rfam family "Eukaryotic small subunit ribosomal RNA", at positions 569 to 951 of the family's 1831-position model. The record is from RNAcentral. Lineage: Eukaryota; Fungi; Glomeromycota; Glomeromycetes; Glomerales; Glomeraceae.